AGGGCUUUAGCUUAAUUAAAGCAUCUGAGUUGCAUUCAGAAUAUGUGGGGUUGUUCCGCAAGUCCUA
This 67-nucleotide transfer RNA is filed under the name Eurycea wilderae. Its description in RNAcentral is "tRNA-Ala". It matches the Rfam family "tRNA". Rfam says of the family: Transfer RNA (tRNA) molecules are approximately 80 nucleotides in length. Their secondary structure includes four short double-helical elements and three loops (D, anti-codon, and T loops). Further hydrogen bonds mediate the characteristic L-shaped molecular structure. tRNAs have two regions of fundamental functional importance: the anti-codon, which is responsible for specific mRNA codon recognition, and the 3' end, to which the tRNAs corresponding amino acid is attached (by aminoacyl-tRNA synthetases). tRNAs cope with the degeneracy of the genetic code in two manners: having more than one tRNA (with a specific anti-codon) for a particular amino acid; and 'wobble' base-pairing, i.e. permitting non-standard base-pairing at the 3rd anti-codon position. The record is from RNAcentral. Lineage: Eukaryota; Metazoa; Chordata; Amphibia; Caudata; Plethodontidae.